UACGGAGGGUGCAAGCGUUAUCCGGAUUUAUUGGGUUUAAAGGGUCCGUAGGCGGGUUAAUAAGUCAGUGGUGAAAUCCUGCAGCUUAACUGUAGAACUGCCAUUGAUACUGUUAGUCUUGAGUGUUGUUGAUGUAGCUGGAAUGUGUGGUGUAGCGGUGAAAUGCAUAGAUAUCACACAGAACACCAAUUGCGAAGGCAGGUUACAAAGCAACAACUGACGCUGAUGGACGAAAGCGUGGGGAGCGAACAGG
This 253-nucleotide ribosomal RNA is filed under the name uncultured bacterium. RNAcentral's name for it is "partial 16S ribosomal RNA". It matches the Rfam family "Bacterial small subunit ribosomal RNA", at positions 524 to 776 of the family's 1533-position model. The record is from RNAcentral.